This is a long non-coding RNA of Spinacia oleracea (spinach), 798 nucleotides long. RefSeq lists it as uncharacterized. The record is from RefSeq and is a predicted model, not a curated record. The transcript is spliced from 2 exons. NCBI's taxonomy places the organism in Eukaryota, Viridiplantae, Streptophyta, Magnoliopsida, Caryophyllales, Amaranthaceae.
UCCCCAUUAACAAUUUCUUCAACUUCUCUCCAAUUCCUAUGAUUUGAUUUCCAAAAAAAUUAAUUCCCUAAAUUAUGGCACUUCCAAUUACUCCGGUUUACAUUUUUAAUUUGACUAAAUUAUUUCCGGUUCAUCAAUAUAGCAAUUUCGAUUAGUUGCAUUUUAAAGGGAAAAGAAUUGUUGUUUAAAGUGCUCAUUUGUUCUAUUUUUCGUUUGACAAUUGUUCAAUUCAAGUUCCACCAUUUAUUAUGAGCUAUUACAUUGAAGUAACGAACCUGGGGAGAAGCCAUUAGUAGCAACAAAGAUUUCUUCAAAGGAGUAACAUUUCCAAGUGGGUUUUUUAGCAAAAAGAUGGGGUUCAAGGUCAGGAAACUUGAGUUUAUUAUUAUUGUAAUCUUCUUCAAUUCCAGAAUCUUCUAAACUGCUGCUACUGCUGCUUGUACUACGACGUCCUAUCGAAAACAACCGCUUCAAACUUCCAGAUCGAAUGUAGUACUUCAUCGAUUUCCCCUGUUUUUUAUUUAUUUCCUUAAGAAACUCUGUUUUAUGUAAGGAUUUAAGGGGACAAUAACAUUGAUAUUAUGAGUCAAAUGAAUGUUUGAAUGUUUGAAUGUUUAGGAGAGAGGAAGAGAGAGAGAGAAGGGGUGGUGAAGGGGUGAAUGGAGUAAUUAAAUUGAGAUAUGAAGAAAUGUGAAGUUGGUGUUGUUAGUUGGUUCUUUUAAAUGCAGAGGAAGAACAAAAGGAGAAAGUAGGGGAGAACAGUUCACGUCCAAGAAAGUUGUGUCUUUGUAUGUGUAA